GUGACCAGCGGAGGGAUCAUUACUGAGUUACCGCUCAUCAACCCUUUGUGAACAUACCUUAACUGUUGCUUCGGCGGGUAGGCGUCCCCUAAAAAGGACGUCUCCCGGCCCUCUCCCGUCCGCGGGUGGGGCGCCCGCCGGAGGAUAACCAAACUCUGAUUUAACGACGUUUCUUCUGAGUGACACAAGCAAAUAAUCAAAACUUUUAACAACGGAUCUCUUGGUUCUGGCAUCGAUGAAGAACGCAGCGAAAUGCGAUAAGUAAUGUGAAUUGCAGAAUUCAGUGAAUCAUCGAAUCUUUGAACGCACAUUGCGCCCGCCAGCAUUCUGGCGGGCAUGCCUGUUCGAGCGUCAUUUCAACCCUCAAGCUCUGCUUGGUGUUGGGGCUCUACGGUUGACGUAGGCCCUUAAAGGUAGUGGCGGACCCUCUCGGAGCCUCCUUUGCGUAGUAACAUUUCGUCUCGCAUUGGGAUUCGGAGGGACUCUAGCCGUAAAACCCCCAAUUUUACUAAGGUUGACCUCGGAUCAGGUAGGAAUACCCGCUGAACUUAAGCAUAUCAA
RNAcentral lists this ribosomal RNA (561 nucleotides) under Colletotrichum truncatum. RNAcentral describes it as "eukaryotic LSU rRNA". The stretch from base 201 to 354 matches the Rfam family "5.8S ribosomal RNA". The record is from RNAcentral. Lineage: Eukaryota; Fungi; Ascomycota; Sordariomycetes; Glomerellales; Glomerellaceae.